GUAUAAUGGGUCAGCGACUUAUAUUCUGUAGCAAGGUUAACCGUAUAGGGGAGCCGGAGGGAAACCGAGUCUUAACCGGGCGUUAAGUUGCAGGGUAUAGACCCGAAACCCGGUGAUCUAGCCAUGGGCAGGUUGAAGGUUGGGUAACACUAACUGGAGGACCGAACCGACUAAUGUUGAAAAAUUAGCGGAUGACCUGUGGCUGGGGGUGAAAGGCCAAUCAAACCGGGAGAUAGCUGGUUCUCCCCGAAAGCUAUUUAGGUAGCGCCUCGUGAAUUCAUCUCCGGGGGUAGAGCACUGUUUCGGCUAGGGGGCCAUCCCGGCUUACCAACCCGAUGCAAACUGCGAAUACCGGAGAAUGUUAUCACGGGAGACACACGGCGGGUGCUAACGUCCGUCGUGAAGAGGGAAACAACCCAGACCGCCAGCUAAGGUCCCAAAGUCAUGGUUAAGUGGGAAACGAUGUGGGAAGGCCCAGACAGCCAGGAUGUUGGCUUAGAAGCAGCCAUCAUUUAAAGAAAGCGUAAUAGCUCACUGGUCGAGUCGGCCUGCGCGGAAGAUGUAACGGGGCUAAACCAU
Molecule: ribosomal RNA, 579 nt
Filed under: Salmonella enterica
Lineage: Bacteria; Pseudomonadati; Pseudomonadota; Gammaproteobacteria; Enterobacterales; Enterobacteriaceae
Also listed under: 1 other name
Description: partial 23S ribosomal RNA
Rfam family: Bacterial large subunit ribosomal RNA
Source: RNAcentral